GUCCAGUUCACUCCACUAUCAUUCCUUCUCCCAUACCCCUCCCCUCCCUUCGAUCCCCUCUGUCUAAUCCAAAGUACUUCCAUUCUUCCCCCACCCCAUUUUGAAUUAGCACCACAUAUCAGAGAAAAUAUUCAGCUUUGUUUUUUUGGGGAUUGGCUUAUUUCUCUUAGCAUAAUAUUCUCCAAUUCUACUCAUUUACAAGCAAAUGCCAUAAUUUCAUUCUUCUUUAAGGCUGAGUAAUAUU
This 244-nucleotide long non-coding RNA is filed under the name Marmota monax (woodchuck). Lineage: Eukaryota; Metazoa; Chordata; Mammalia; Rodentia; Sciuridae. The record is from RNAcentral.